GAUGAACGCUGGCGGCGUGCCUAAUACAUGCAAGUCGAGCGAACAGACGAGGAGCUUGCUCCUCUGACGUUAGCGGCAGACGGGUGAGUAACACGUGGAUAAUCUCCCUCUCAGACUGGGAAAACUUCGGGACACCGGAGCUAAUACCGGAUAAUAUAUUGAACCGCAUGGUUCAAUAGUGAAAGACGGUUUUGCUUUCACCUAUAGCCGAAUCCGCUCCGCAUUAGCUAGUUGGUAAGGUAACCGCCUACCAAGGCAGCGAUGCGUAGCCGACCUGAGAGAGUGAUAGGCGGCACUGGAGCUGGGACAGCGUCAAGAGUCCUACGAGAGGCAGCAGUAGGGAACGUUCGGCAAUGGGCGGAAGCCUGACGGAGCGACGCCGCGUCUGUUGUAACGGUCUUGGGAUCGUGAUGAUCUGUUAUGAGGUAUGAACAGAUGUGUAAGUAAAUAUGCACGUCUUGACGGUACCUAAUCAGAAAGCAACGGCUAACUACGUG
This 497-nucleotide ribosomal RNA is filed under the name uncultured bacterium. RNAcentral describes it as "partial 16S ribosomal RNA". It matches the Rfam family "Bacterial small subunit ribosomal RNA", at positions 28 to 507 of the family's 1533-position model. The record is from RNAcentral.